UUACGGCCAUAACACGUUGAAACAACGGUUCCCAUACGAUCACGGAAGUUAAGAAACGUCGAGCAUUUUCAGUAUCUACAUGGGUAACCAGCAGAGAAUACCAGGUGCUGUAU
Non-coding RNA from Acanthosepion pharaonis, 113 nucleotides. The record is from the annotation of a GenBank genome assembly. Lineage: Eukaryota; Metazoa; Mollusca; Cephalopoda; Sepiida; Sepiidae.